This 301-nucleotide ribosomal RNA is filed under the name uncultured bacterium. RNAcentral's name for it is "partial 16S ribosomal RNA". It matches the Rfam family "Bacterial small subunit ribosomal RNA", at positions 509 to 807 of the family's 1533-position model. The record is from RNAcentral.
CAGUCGCCGCGGUAAUACGUAGGGUGCGAGCGUUAAUCGGAAUUACUGGGCGUAAAGCGUGCGCAGGCGGUUGUGUAAGACAGGUGUGAAAUCCCCGGGCUUAACCUGGGAACUGCGCUUGUGACUGCACAGCUAGAGUAUGGCAGAGGGGGGUGGAAUUCCACGUGUAGCAGUGAAAUGCGUAGAGAUGUGGAGGAACACCGACGGCGAAGGCAGCCCCCUGGGCCAAUACUGACGCUCAUGCACGAAAGCGUGGGGAGCAAACAGGAUUAGAGACCCCUGUAGUCCCUGUCUCUUAUAC